AUUGAACGCUGGCGGCAUGCCUUACACAUGCAAGUCGAACGGUAGCAGGUCUUCGGAUGCUGACGAGUGGCGAACGGGUGAGUAAUACAUCGGAACGUGCCCGAUCGUGGGGGAUAACGAGGCGAAAGCUUUGCUAAUACCGCAUACGAUCUACGGAUGAAAGCGGGGGAUCUUCGGACCUCGCGCGGACGGAGCGGCCGAUGGCAGAUUAGGUAGUUGGUGGGAUAAAAGCUUACCAAGCCGACGAUCUGUAGCUGGUCUGAGAGGAUGAUCAGCCACACUGGGACUGAGACACGGCCCAGACUCCUACGGGAGGCAGCAGUGGGGAAUUUUGGACAAUGGGCGAAAGCCUGAUCCAGCCAUGCCGCGUGCAGGAUGAAGGCCUUCGGGUUGUAAACUGCUUUUGUACGGAACGAAAAGCCUCUUUCUAAUAAAGAGAGGUCAUGACGGUACCGUAAGAAUAAGCACCGGCUAACUACGUG
Molecule: ribosomal RNA, 482 nt
Filed under: uncultured bacterium
Lineage: Bacteria
Description: partial 16S ribosomal RNA
Rfam family: Bacterial small subunit ribosomal RNA
Source: RNAcentral